Molecule: ribosomal RNA, 1546 nt
Filed under: Salmonella enterica subsp. enterica serovar Agona
Lineage: Bacteria; Pseudomonadati; Pseudomonadota; Gammaproteobacteria; Enterobacterales; Enterobacteriaceae
Description: partial 23S ribosomal RNA
Rfam family: Bacterial large subunit ribosomal RNA
Source: RNAcentral
CUGGAGGUAUCAGAAGUGCGAAUGCUGACAUAAGUAACGAUAAAGCGGGUGAAAAGCCCGCUCGCCGGAAGACCAAGGGUUCCUGUCCAACGUUAAUCGGGGCAGGGUGAGUCGACCCCUAAGGCGAGGCCGAAAGGCGUAGUCGAUGGGAAACGGGUUAAUAUUCCCGUACUUGGUGUUACUGCGAAGGGGGGACGGAGAAGGCUAUGUUGGCCGGGCGACGGUUGUCCCGGUUUAAGCGUGUAGGUGUGUGUUCCAGGUAAAUCCGGUUCACUUUAACACUGAGGCGUGACGACGAGGCACUACGGUGCUGAAGCAACAAAUGCCCUGCUUCCAGGAAAAGCCUCUAAGCAUCAGGUAACAUCAAAUCGUACCCCAAACCGACACAGGUGGUCAGGUAGAGAAUACCAAGGCGCUUGAGAGAACUCGGGUGAAGGAACUAGGCAAAAUGGUGCCGUAACUUCGGGAGAAGGCACGCUGACACGUAGGUGAAGUGAUUUACUCAUGGAGCUGAAGUCAGUCGAAGAUACCAGCUGGCUGCAACUGUUUAUUAAAAACACAGCACUGUGCAAACAUGAAAGUGGACGUAUACGGUGUGACGCCUGCCCGGUGCCGGAAGGUUAAUUGAUGGGGUCAGCGCAAGCGAAGCUCCUGAUCGAAGCCCCGGUAAACGGCGGCCGUAACUAUAACGGUCCUAAGGUAGCGAAAUUCCUUGUCGGGUAAGUUCCGACCUGCACGAAUGGCGUAAUGAUGGCCAGGCUGUCUCCACCCGAGACUCAGUGAAAUUGAACUCGCUGUGAAGAUGCAGUGUACCCGCGGCAAGACGGAAAGACCCCGUGAACCUUUACUAUAGCUUGACACUGAACAUUGAGCCUUGAUGUGUAGGAUAGGUGGGAGGCUUUGAAGUGUGGACGCCAGUCUGCAUGGAGCCGACCUUGAAAUACCACCCUUUAAUGUUUGAUGUUCUAACGUGGACCCGUAAUCCGGGUUGCGGACAGUGUCUGGUGGGUAGUUUGACUGGGGCGGUCUCCUCCUAAAGAGUAACGGAGGAGCACGAAGGUUGGCUAAUCCUGGUCGGACAUCAGGAGGUUAGUGCAAUGGCAUAAGCCAGCUUGACUGCGAGCGUGACGGCGCGAGCAGGUGCGAAAGCAGGUCAUAGUGAUCCGGUGGUUCUGAAUGGAAGGGCCAUCGCUCAACGGAUAAAAGGUACUCCGGGGAUAACAGGCUGAUACCGCCCAAGAGUUCAUAUCGACGGCGGUGUUUGGCACCUCGAUGUCGGCUCAUCACAUCCUGGGGCUGAAGUAGGUCCCAAGGGUAUGGCUGUUCGCCAUUUAAAGUGGUACGCGAGCUGGGUUUAGAACGUCGUGAGACAGUUCGGUCCCUAUCUGCCGUGGGCGCUGGAGAACUGAGGGGGGCUGCUCCUAGUACGAGAGGACCGGAGUGGACGCAUCACUGGUGUUCGGGUUGUCAUGCCAAUGGCACUGCCCGGUAGCUAAAUGCGGAAGAGAUAAGUGCUGAAAGCAUCUAAGCACGAAACUUGCCCCGA